RNAcentral lists this ribosomal RNA (251 nucleotides) under uncultured bacterium. RNAcentral describes it as "partial 16S ribosomal RNA". It matches the Rfam family "Bacterial small subunit ribosomal RNA", at positions 524 to 776 of the family's 1533-position model. The record is from RNAcentral.
UACAGGGGGGGCAAGCGUUGUUCGGAAUUACUGGGCGUAAAGGGUGUAGGUGGCCAACUAAGUCAGACGUGAAAUCCCCCAGCUUAACUGGGGAACUGCGUCUGAUACUGGAUGGCUUGAGUGCAGGAGAGGAAUGCGGAAUUCCAGGUGUAGCGGUGAAAUGCAUAGAUAUCUGGAGGAACACCGGUGGCGAAGGCGGCAUUCUGGACUGUAACUGACACUGAGAGACGAAAGCCAGGGGAGCAAACGGG